This 465-nucleotide ribosomal RNA is filed under the name Vreelandella stevensii. Its description in RNAcentral is "partial 16S ribosomal RNA". It matches the Rfam family "Bacterial small subunit ribosomal RNA", at positions 338 to 795 of the family's 1533-position model. Lineage: Bacteria; Pseudomonadati; Pseudomonadota; Gammaproteobacteria; Oceanospirillales; Halomonadaceae. The record is from RNAcentral.
CCUACGGGCGGCAGCAGUGGGGAAUAUUGGACAAUGGGGGGAACCCUGAUCCAGCCAUGCCGCGUGUGUGAAGAAGGCCCUCGGGUUGUAAAGCACUUUCAGUGAGGAAGAACGCCUGGUGGUUAAUACCCAUCAGGAAAGACAUCACUCACAGAAGAAGCACCGGCUAACUCCGUGCCAGCAGCCGCGGUAAUACGGAGGGUACGAGCGUUAAUCGGAAUUACUGGGCGUAAAGCGCGCGUAGGUGGCUUGAUAAGCCGGUUGUGAAAGCCCCGGGCUCAACCUGGGAACGGCAUCCGGAACUGUCAAGCUAGAGUGCAGGAGAGGAAGGUAGAAUUCCCGGUGUAGCGGUGAAAUGCGUAGAGAUCGGGAGGAAUACCAGUGGCGAAGGCGGCCUUCUGGACUGACACUGACACUGAGGUGCGAAAGCGUGGGUAGCAAACAGGAUUAGAUACCCUUGUAGUC